GACGAACGCUGGCGGCGUGCUUAACACAUGCAAGUCGAACGAAGUGGCGAACGGGUGAGUAACGCGUAAUCAACCUGCCCUUCAGAGGGGGACAACAGUUGGAAACGACUGCUAAUACCGCAUACUGAAGGAGGGGAUUGCGUCUGAUUGGCUAGUUGGAGGGGUAACGGCCCACCAAGGCGAUGAUCAGUUGCCGGGUUGGGGAGUUGCACCGGCACAAUGGGAACGAGACACGGCCCAGAACUCCACGGGAGGCAGCCGUGGGGGAUGUUCCGAAAUUGACGGAAGGCUGACGGGGCAAAGGCGGGGUAGGGGUGACGGGCUUCGGGUUGGAAAGCCUUGGUAAUCGGGACGCGGUACCGGAAUAGAAAGCCACUGCUAACUACGGGCCAGCCGCCGCGGUAAUAC
This 408-nucleotide ribosomal RNA is filed under the name uncultured bacterium. RNAcentral describes it as "partial 16S ribosomal RNA". It matches the Rfam family "Bacterial small subunit ribosomal RNA", at positions 28 to 526 of the family's 1533-position model. The record is from RNAcentral.